RNAcentral lists this ribosomal RNA (696 nucleotides) under Microbacteriaceae bacterium HP5. RNAcentral describes it as "bacterial SSU rRNA". It matches the Rfam family "Bacterial small subunit ribosomal RNA", at positions 24 to 737 of the family's 1533-position model. Lineage: Bacteria; Bacillati; Actinomycetota; Actinomycetes; Micrococcales; Microbacteriaceae. The record is from RNAcentral.
UCAGGAUGAACGCUGGCGCGUGCUUAACACAUGCAAGUCGAACGAUGAAGCUGGAGCUUGCUCUGGUGGAUUAGUGGCGAACGGGUGAGUAACACGUGAGUAACCUGCCCUUGACUCUGGAAUAAGCGUUGGAAACGACGUCUAAUACCGGAUACGAGCUUCCGCCGCAUGGUGAGGAGCUGGAAAGAAUUUCGGUCAAGGAUGGACUCGCGGCCUAUCAGGUAGUUGGUGAGGUAAUGGCUCACCAAGCCUACGACGGGUAGCCGGCCUGAGAGGGUGACCGGCCACACUGGAACUGAGACACGGUCCAGACUCUACGGGAGGCAGCAGUGGGGAAUAUUGCACAAUGGGCGCAAGCCUGAUGCAGCAACGCCGCGUGAGGGACGACGGCUUCGGGUUGUAAACCUCUUUUAGUAGGGAAGAAGCGAAAGUGACGGUACCUGCAGAAAAAGCACCGGCUAACUACGUGCCAGCAGCCGCGGUAAUACGUAGGGUGCAAGCGUUAUCCGGAAUUAUUGGGCGUAAAGAGCUCGUAGGCGGUUUGUCGCGUCUGCUGUGAAAACUGGGGGCUCAACCCCCAGCCUGCAGUGGGUACGGCAGACUAGAGUGCGGUAGGGGAGAUUGGAAUUCCUGGUGUAGCGGUGGAAUGCGCAGAUAUCAGGAGGAACACCGAUGCGAAGGCAGAUCUCUGGCCGU